Molecule: ribosomal RNA, 483 nt
Filed under: uncultured bacterium
Lineage: Bacteria
Description: partial 16S ribosomal RNA
Rfam family: Bacterial small subunit ribosomal RNA
Source: RNAcentral
GACGAACGCUGGCGGCGUGCUUAACACGUGCAAGUCGAACGAUGAACCCGGAGCUUGCUCCGGCGGAUUAGUGGCGAACGGGUGAGUAACACGUGAGCAAUCUGCCCUUGACUCUGGGAUAACUGCGGGAAACUGUAGCUAAUACCGGAUACGACACCUUGGGGCCUCCCAGGGUGUGGAAAGAAUUUCGGUCAAGGAUGAGCUCCCGGCCUAUCAGCUAGUUGGUGAGGUAAUGGCCCACCAAGGCGACGGCGGGUAGCCGGCCUGAGAGGGUGACCGGCAACACUGAAACGGAGACACGGUCCAGACUCCUACGGGAGGCAGCAGUGGGGAAUAUUGCACAAUGGGCGAAAGCCUGAUGCAGCAACGCCGCGUGAGGGAUGAAGGCCUUCGGGUUGUAAACCUCUUUUAGCAGGAAAGAAGCGAAAGUGACGGUACCUGCAGAAAAAGCACCGGCUAACUACGUGCCAGCCGCCGCCGUAA